Non-coding RNA from Cordylochernes scorpioides, 71 nucleotides. The record is from the annotation of a GenBank genome assembly. Lineage: Eukaryota; Metazoa; Arthropoda; Arachnida; Pseudoscorpiones; Chernetidae.
GCAUGAGCCUAGUGGAUAUGGCAUCUGCCCGGUAAGCGGAACAUUGUGGGUUCGAUUCCCAUCCCUGGACA